GUGAAUGAGUCUUAUGAGAUCUGAUGGUUUUAUAAUGGGUUUCCCCUUUCACUUAGCUCUCAUUCUCUCUUAACUGCUGCCAUGUAAGACACGCUUUUCACCUUCUGCUAUGAUUGUGAGGCCUCCCAAGCCACGUGGAGCUAGGCAAGGACAUGUGCUGGAUGUGUAUGCAGUCUUUGAAGCUGGAGAGGCCUGUGUUGGAAACUGUGCUCUGUCCCAUGCCAGUUCCCUGACCUUGGAACCCCUAGAGCAAUCAACAGACAGACAGAGCCCUGCUUCAUGGAGCGUCUGCUCUCUCCUGGAGCUCACACGCUGAAACAGACAGGAUGCAACACCUCAGGGUUGUUGGAGAACCAGAACCCAUGUCGUUACAAGAAGAGGAGUUUGGAAUGCAGACAUGAAUAGAAGGAAGACCAUGUGAAGACACAGCAGGAAGACGCCAUCUACAAGCUAAGAAGAGAGGCCUUAGAGGAAGCCAGCCCUGCCAACACUUUGAUUUCAAACUUCCAGCCUCUAGAACUGUAAGAAAAAUACAUUUGUGUUGUUUAAGCCACCCAGUCUGUGGUACUUUAUUAUAGCAACUCCAGAAAACUAAUACAUGGGCUGACAAAAGUAGCUGGUGUCUAUUUGCUUAUUCUAUGUGUUCAAUUAUACAUUUACUGAGAACCUAAUAUGUGCCUGUUACUCUGGGAGAUGUUGCACUAAGGACUUUAAAUAUAUUAACUCAAUUAAUCCUGAGCACAGACCUCUGAGGUAGGUAUUGCUAUACCCAUUUUAUAGAUGAAGAAAGCAAGGCAAGACAAACUGAGAGAAUUAGUCAAACUGACACACCAGCAGGUGGUAGAGUCACAGACAUGUAAACGUGGGCAGUGUGGCCUGACAGAGUGAGUUGUGGGAGACAGAAGUCAGCAGGAACAUGGAAGAGAAUAAUUCUCCCAGAAAAGGAGUGGAGAUUUACGGAAGAGGAACUGAGGCUUGAAAAGUGAACAAGAGAGAAUGACCGAAGGCGGUGGUAGUGGUAUUUCCGUUUCAAGGCAUGCAAAGAGGCGUGAAACAACAUGGCAGUUUGGGAGAAUUGUAAGUAGUUGUGCAUUCGUUCAAAGAGAAGUGUUGAGUGAGAACACAGGGGCCAGAUUACUAGGGUCUCGUAUGAUGAACUACUCUGGAUGGAAGUGAUCCUCUGGGCACUGGAAGACCCUGAAGAGGGUUAAGAAAGAGUGAUCAGAUUUGAAUUUUAUAAAGUGUUCAAGGAAGUGUGGCAGGGACUGCGGUUAGAGGCACACAGCCCAUUUUCCAGGAUGGCAGUGGUCUUGGCAUGAGAAGGGUGAGCCAGGACUGUGGUCAGCAUCUCACAGGGGAUGAAGAAAAAGGAAAAAGUAUCUGAUGCUGAGAAAACAGAAAACGCAAGACUCAGUUUGCAGCAGAUGAAGGAGAGAACAGGUCCAGAAUCAUUCCCGGUGUUUUGGAUGACUUGACUAGGAGGCUGAUGCCAGAGUUAGAGACAAAGUGGGUGCACACUCUGGGAUCCUGGGUCCCAUCGUGCAGAGGCUGCUGGCUCUCUGUAACCUGAGCUCAGAAGGAUGGUCUGGAGGGGAGGCAGGAGAGGCAUCAGUGUAGAGAUGGGGACCCAAGCCAGGACAGUGAGUGAGAGCCUACAAAAUGCAGAGGAAGUACAGCAGAGAGUUGGGGCAAGUUGGGGCAAAAAUCUGGGUGGCCAGCAGCAUACAAGAGAUGUAGAGACAGUGGAGUCUGGAAGAAAAGUCUGGAAGGAAUGAUCUGAUACACAGGAGGAAAACAAGAUAUGAAUAGUCCCACCAAAACCAAGGGAGAUGCUGUUUAUAGGAAGAAGGUCUCUAACAUUAGCUGCUGCAGAGACAUGCCAGAUGGUGAGGGCUGGACAGGUCUGGGCAGUGGCUCUAUUGGAGAAAGUGAGCUGCAAACCAGGUUUCAUCCUUAAAAGGAGUGUUUUGUCUUUUGUGAUUGACAUGAUUCUCUGACUGAUGUAUCUAAUUCAUGAUUUUUUUUUUCACAAA
This 2033-nucleotide long non-coding RNA is filed under the name Homo sapiens (human). RNAcentral describes it as "HSALNT0300582". Lineage: Eukaryota; Metazoa; Chordata; Mammalia; Primates; Hominidae. The record is from RNAcentral.